AAGCUUGCUUGUUGGGGUUGUAGGACACUCUAUACGGAGUUACAAAGGACGACAUUAGACGAAUCAUCUGGAAAGAUGAAUCAAAGAAGGUAAUAAUCCUGUAGUCGAAAAUGUUGUCUCUCUUGAGUGGAUCCUGAGUACGACGGAGCACGUGAAAUUCCGUCGGAAUCUGGGAGGACCAUCUCCUAAGGCUAAAUACUCUCUAGUGACCGAUAGUGAACCAGUACCGUGAGGGAAAGGUGAAAAGCACCCCGGAAGGGGAGUGAAAUAGAACCUGAAACCGUGUGCUUACAAGUAGUCAGAGCCCGUUAAUGGGUGAUGGCGUGCCUUUUGUAGAAUGAACCGGCGAGUUACGAUUUGAUGCAAGGUUAAGCAGUAAAUGUGGAGCCGUAGCGAAAGCGAGUCUGAAUAGGGCGUUUAGUAUUUGGUCGUAGACCCGAAACCAGGUGAUCUACCCUUGGUCAGGUUGAAGUUCAGGUAACACUGAAUGGAGGACCGAACCGACUUACGUUGAAAAGUGAGCGGAUGAACUGAGGGUAGCGGAGAAAUUCCAAUCGAACCUGGAGAUAGCUGGUUCUCUCCGAAAUAGCUUUAGGGCUAGCCUCAAGUGAUGAUUAUUGGAGGUAGAGCACUGUUUGGACGAGGGGCCCCUCUCGGGUUACCGAAUUCAGACAAACUCCGAAUGCCAAUUAAUUUAACUUGGGAGUCAGAACAUGGGUGAUAAGGUCCGUGUUCGAAAGGGAAACAGCCCAGACCACCAGCUAAGGUCCCAAAAUAUAUGUUAAGUGGAAAAGGAUGUGGCGUUGCCCAGACAACUAGGAUGUUGGCUUAGAAGCAGCCAUCAUUUAAAGAGUGCGUAAUAGCUCACUAGUCGAGUGACACUGCGCCGAAAAUGUACCGGGGCUAAACAUAUUACCGAAGCUGUGGAUUGUCCUUUGGACAAUGGUAGGAGAGCGUUCUAAGGGCGUUGAAGCAUGAUCGUAAGGACAUGUGGAGCGCUUAGAAGUGAGAAUGCCGGUGUGAGUAGCGAAAGACGGGUGAGAAUCCCGUCCACCGAUUGACUAAGGUUUCCAGAGGAAGGCUCGUCCGCUCUGGGUUAGUCGGGUCCUAAGCUGAGGCCGACAGGCGUAGGCGAUGGAUAACAGGUUGAUAUUCCUGUACCACCUAUAAUCGUUUUAAUCGAUGGGGGGACGCAGUAGGAUAGGCGAAGCGUGCGAUUGGAUUGCACGUCUAAGCAGUAAGGCUGAGUAUUAGGCAAAUCCGGUACUCGUUAAGGCUGAGCUGUGAUGGGGAGAAGACAUUGUGUCUUCGAGUCGUUGAUUUCACACUGCCGAGAAAAGCCUCUAGAUAGAAAAUAGGUGCCCGUACCGCAAACCGACACAGGUAGUCAAGAUGAGAAUUCUAAGGUGAGCGAGCGAACUCUCGUUAAGGAACUCGGCA
RNAcentral lists this ribosomal RNA (1440 nucleotides) under Staphylococcus aureus. RNAcentral describes it as "partial 23S ribosomal RNA". It matches the Rfam family "Bacterial large subunit ribosomal RNA", at positions 280 to 1719 of the family's 2925-position model. Lineage: Bacteria; Bacillati; Bacillota; Bacilli; Caryophanales; Staphylococcaceae. The record is from RNAcentral.